RNAcentral lists this ribosomal RNA (481 nucleotides) under uncultured bacterium. RNAcentral's name for it is "partial 16S ribosomal RNA". It matches the Rfam family "Bacterial small subunit ribosomal RNA", at positions 28 to 507 of the family's 1533-position model. The record is from RNAcentral.
GAUGAACGCUGGCGGCGUGCUUAACACAUGCCAGUCGAACGAAGCAUUUAGGACAGAUUACUUCGGUUUGAAGUUCUUUAUGACUGAGUGGCGGACGGGUGAGUAACGCGUGGGUAACCUGCCUUGUACUGGGGGAUAGCAGCUGGAAACGGCUGGUAAUACCGCAUAAGCGCACAAUGUUGCAUGACAUGGUGUGAAAAACUCCGGUGGUAUAAGAUGGACCCGCGUCUGAUUAGCUAGUUGGUGAGAUAACAGCCCACCAAGGCGACGAUCAGUAGCCGACCUGAGAGGGUGACCGGCCACAUUGGGACUGAGACACGGCCCAGACUCCUACGGGAGUCAGCAGUGGGGAAUAUUGCACAAUGGAGGAAACUCUGAUGCAGCGACGCCGCGUGAGUGAAGAAGUAAUUCGUUAUGUAAAGCUCUAUCAGCAGGGAAGAUAGUGACGGUACCUGACUAAGAAGCUCCGGCUAAAUACGUG